AUCUGAACGUCAAUUUUCAUGAUUAUUUCACGACGAAGAUCAUCACAUCAAUGAAUCAAUUAAUACGGACAUGCCUUUGAUAUUAGCAGGGUGCUGGCACCAUAUGCAACAAUACUUUCAUCUGUGAAUACCCACGCGCUAUGCCCACCAUGAACUACGAAGGCCAGUUAAUAUGUAAAGACACCACUGAACAGACACUUUUCAAUUAUCGUACAUCAUAUACAUGGGUGGUCAAACUCACUGGAUGGUUUAUCAACACUCCCAUGCUCACGAACAGCCUUGCCCCAAGAAUUUUGCCCUGAAGUAACAUUGCAGUCUAUUGUCUCCUUUCUUUUCACAACCCUGGCAGCCAUGCAGGAUAGAAGCUGAUCACUUGUACUCGACAGCAAAUAAUAAUAUCUUGGACAAGUCAAAGAAUUUCCUCCAGUCUUACAGAGAAAUGACAGUUGAUAAAAGAAUGGUGGACACA
This is a long non-coding RNA of Saccostrea cuccullata (small rock oyster), 469 nucleotides long. RefSeq lists it as uncharacterized. The record is from RefSeq and is a predicted model, not a curated record. The transcript is spliced from 4 exons. Lineage: Eukaryota; Metazoa; Mollusca; Bivalvia; Ostreida; Ostreidae.